CUGUUGCCUGACACUCUUUCCCUGUUGCACUACUGUGGGAGCUGCAGCAAAGCAGUGCAAUAAUGAAAGGGCAUCAGUCCACUG
Danio rerio (zebrafish) is the source of this 84-nucleotide microRNA precursor. Ensembl annotates it as microRNA 130b. Its record names the gene mir130b. The record is from Ensembl. Lineage: Eukaryota; Metazoa; Chordata; Actinopteri; Cypriniformes; Danionidae.